RNAcentral lists this long non-coding RNA (2252 nucleotides) under Manihot esculenta (cassava). Its description in RNAcentral is "long non-coding RNA (MESC_LNC005259)". Lineage: Eukaryota; Viridiplantae; Streptophyta; Magnoliopsida; Malpighiales; Euphorbiaceae. The record is from RNAcentral.
UUGUUGACAUCUAUACAAAUUUAAAAAUAAUGACUGGAUUCAGUUUAAUUUAAUUGAAAAUUUUUUAGCCAAAUCCGAAUGAUACGCGCCUCACCUUGCUGACGAGUAUAAAGGAUUUGGAUACCCAGAAUUUGCUAAUGAGUAUGCAACAUCUCUAGCUAUGCUCUGCUAAUCGAAAUUGAAUUUUCUUUAUGUCAGAAAAUGGCCAGAAGAGCUGGCUUUCUCCUCAGAUUCUCUGUUAUUGCAACAAACAAACCCAUAAAUCCCAUAUUGUUUCAUGUCUCUUUCUCCUCCUCGGUUCCUACACCCCAAUUCGAACAAACCCAACAGCGCGAAAUCCUACAAAACUAUAGCAACACUAUUAGCGGCAAAGACCAUGAACGCUAUGAACAAAUGGACAAGUGAUAAGAUAAGAGGUCCACAAGAAUGCCGAUUCACAUCUAUUGCUGAUUUUUAGUUGCCUCAAAAUAGGUCAAUUAGUUAAUUUCUUAAGUGAAUUUUAUAUAUUUGUUUUGUUAUUAAGUAGCUGAGUCCAAAAGAAUAGGGAAGUUAAAUUUAGUUUUAUUUAUAAUUCUCUGGGACUCGAUAGGCUUACAAUGGUCGACUGAAGUUAUGGUCACGGUUCUAUUUAUAAUGACCUCGGAAAUCUUUGUUGAGGAGUUAUGGUCACGGUUUGAUCCUACGGAUUGUGAAGACUUUGAUGAAUCUCUUUUAAAAAUAAGACAACUCGGCUCUUUACAAAUCUAUAAAAAAGAGUUUGAGAGGUUAGGCAAUAGAGUGCAGGAUGGACUCAAAAGACUUUAGUAGGCUCGUUCAUAGGCGAACUGAAGUCAUUGAAGGAGGCUAUCAGCCUGGCUCGCAUGCGGGAUAAACAAUUAAUUCGACAAAAGAAAUAUAUACAACCAUUUGCGCAACAGACUGUUGCAUCUACAACGAAAAGUAAGGCAACAACUCUGAUGAAGGGACGUACCUGGGAGUAAAUGGUUGCUGCAGAUCUUGAUCUACUACUCCUUGGAUAUACAACCUACAAGGAAAAAAUAUUUUUUAAAUAAAACAUUUAAAUCAAAAUUCAUUUAUCAACAAUAAAUCAAACAAAUAACAAUAAACUAAAUAGCAAAUAAUUUGAAAUAAUUCUAAAUCAUAUUAUUAUUUCACAUAUAUACAAAUUUCAAUUUUAUAGUCUUUUUCUUUUUUUUUUAUGUAAAAUAAAAGUUUUGUUUUCUCUUAAUACUUUUAUUUAUUUAUUAUUAUUUUUUUGCCGCUAUAAAUUUAAAUGGGACUGUUAAGUCAGAUAAGCAAACUUGGCACAAAGUGCCAAAUAACUGUAUGACUCAAAAGCCGAGUUUAUAACUGUAGGGUACCUCAUUGUAUCCCAAAAUUUAGUGUAACUAUAGUACUGCAAGAUCUGUAUAUGUCAUAUCACACCCUUAAACUAACUCACAAUUCCCACUAAACUUACUAGCGCCAGACUUUAAAUAAUUUAUACAUUUAAAUAUGGGGACAAAAACUUUCAAGACAGUGUAACUUUCAAUUAUUCAAACUAUAAUAGUUUAUCAUAUUACAACAUUGCCUUUAAAUAUUGUCAUAUCAUGUAAAUCUAUUAAUUUAAUUCUACUACAUAAAUUACAAAUUCAUAAUUUAAUCCUUAAUUAAUUAACUAUUAUUAUUUUUAUUAUUAUUAUUUUAUUUCUAAUCUAAUAUUUUUUUCUAUUUAUCACGAUACACCAUAACUCUUUUUUCUUUUUCUUUUAAUUUUUAUUUAUAUCCAACAACUUUCUUUCAAUCCUAAUUUAAUUAAUUUACAACGUUUAACAUAGUAUUCCUUAUUUAAACUAAUAAUUAUUAUUUUUUAUUAUUAUUACUAUAUCUUAACCAAAUUCCAUGCCUAGAGACAUUCCACUUGGUCCAUAAUUUGAGUUUUGCUCAAAUUACAUAUUAAUUUUAAAAUUUUCUAUUUAUCAUAUUUAUCAUUUCUUCAAACUUUAAUCAUACUAUAUAACUAAAAUAUUAUUUACUUGAUCUAGUUCUACUAAGUUAAUAAAAUUUUCAAAUAAAACCUAAUUAACAAAUUAUUGAAUUUAUUCAAAUAAAGUUGAGCACAAACCUUAAACCUUCCAAAAUCUUCCACAAGCUUAAAAUUUUCUAAUCUUCCUUUCCUUUCCCUUUAGAGUUUCCACUCUUCCCUUCCACUUCUUCUUCAUGAAAAAUAAACAAAUAAAUCAUAUUAAUAUAAUAUUCUUCAUAAAUAUUCA